Molecule: ribosomal RNA, 451 nt
Filed under: uncultured bacterium
Lineage: Bacteria
Description: partial 16S ribosomal RNA
Rfam family: Bacterial small subunit ribosomal RNA
Source: RNAcentral
GUGGGGAAUAUUGGACAAUGGGGGGAACCCUGAUCCAGCCAUGCCGCGUGUGUGAAGAAGGCCUUUUGGUUGUAAAGCACUUUAAGCGAGGAGGAGGCUACCGAGAUUAAUACUCUUGGAUAGUGGACGUUACUCGCAGAAUAAGCACCGGCUAACUCUGUGCCAGCAGCCGCGUUAAUACAGAGGGUGCAAGCGUUAAUCGGAUUUACUGGGCGUAAAGUGCGCGUAGGUGGCAAAGUAAGUCAAAUGUGAAAGCCACGAGCUUAACUUAGAAAUUGCAGUCGAUACUGGUUGGCUAGAGUAUGGGAGAGGAUGGUAGAAUUCCAGGUGUAGCGGUGAAAUGCGUGGUGAUCUGAAGGAAGACCGAUGGCGAAGGCAGCCAUCUGGCCUAAUACUGACACUGAGGUGCGAAAGCAUGGGGAGCAAACAGGAUUAGAUACCCGGGUAGUCC